GAUGAAGAACGUAGUGAAAUGCGAUAAGUAAUGUGAAUUGCAGAAUUCAGUGAAUCAUCGAAUCUUUGAACGCACAUUGCGCCCGGUAGUAUUCUGCCGGGCAUGCCUGUUCGAGCGUCAUUUCAACCAUCAAGCCCCAGCGCUUGUGUUGGGGGCCUGCGGCUGCCGCAGCCCCCUAAAAGCAGUGGCGGGCUCGCUUUCACACCGAGUGCAGUAGUUCAUCUUCUCUCCGGUCUUGUGAGGCGGGUUCCGGCCGUGAAACACCCCACUACAUUCAAGGUUGACCUCGGAUCAGGUAGGAAUACCCGCUGAACUUAAGCAUAUCAAUAAGCGGAGGA
RNAcentral lists this unclassified non-coding RNA (338 nucleotides) under soil metagenome. RNAcentral describes it as "partial contains 5.8S ribosomal RNA, internal transcribed spacer 2, and large subunit ribosomal RNA". The stretch from base 1 to 120 matches the Rfam family "5.8S ribosomal RNA", at positions 35 to 154 of the family's 154-position model. The record is from RNAcentral.